UGGGCGUAAAGCGCAUGCAGGUGGUUUGUUAAGUCAGAUGUGAAAGCCCGGGGCUCAACCUCGGAAUUGCAUUUGAAACUGGCAAACUAGAGUACUGUAGAGGGGGUAGAAUUUCAGGUGUAGCGGUGAAAAUGCGUAGAGAUCUGAAGGAAUACCGGUGGCGAAGGCGGCCCCCUGGACAGAUACUGACACUCAGAUGCGAAAGCGUGGGGAGCAAACAGGAUUAGAUACCCUGGUAG
This 239-nucleotide ribosomal RNA is filed under the name uncultured bacterium. Its description in RNAcentral is "partial 16S ribosomal RNA". It matches the Rfam family "Bacterial small subunit ribosomal RNA", at positions 555 to 793 of the family's 1533-position model. The record is from RNAcentral.